Non-coding RNA from Zootermopsis nevadensis, 972 nucleotides. The record is from RefSeq and is a predicted model, not a curated record. Lineage: Eukaryota; Metazoa; Arthropoda; Insecta; Blattodea; Termopsidae.
UGCAGUUGGUUCAACUUGUUAGUGAGCGGCUUGCAAUGGUCAACUCCAUUGAUCCCGUGUAAAGGUGUGGGGUCUAGUAAUUAGUUUACUUACUCCAGCACUACAGCUGACUGACCACCUCGACCGUAAGUCAGUGCAGAUGGUUGUCACACCCUCUAUUGUUGGAGAUAACAUCGCUGCAAUUUUAAAGCGACAAUGCGUCGAGUGUAGCGGAGCUGGACAAUGAAACGGCCUCGAAAUAAUCAUCAUUGUAAUCCCGAGAGACUAAAUAAAUAGCGGUGUCCACCCAGAAAUGACCAGCCUCUGGCAAUGUGCAGAUUAUAACGCUCUCCAGAUGAUUUGGAUCUGCAAGGGAGAUUGAAAUCAUAAGGAGGUAGCUUCUAAGCAGAUUCUAAGGCUGCAAUCCAGUCAAUCGGACCGACAAGCGCCCCCAAAUCUAUAGAAAUUCAAGAGUGCCGCAAAAUUCUUCACAGAACCAUAAUAUUACAGUGGAUACCAGCCCAUUGCCAAAUACUUGAAAACGAAUUAGCUGACCAACUAGCCAAGAAAGGGGGUAAGGUACUGCAAAUAGAUAACAAAGCAUCAUCUUUCCACUCCAUUCAAUUCAAUUAUUCAUACGACAAGCCUUGAGGAACAAACACUUUCAACAGUUGUCAGCACAAAUUUCAGAGAAACAAUGGAAGGAAUCAUUACUGAGCAUCCCAGAUUGACCCAGGCGGGACGCAGUUGCAGCAUUCCGAUUAUAUACAGGACACGAUUGUUUAGCCAAGCACCUCCACCGGAUUGGCAUCUAUACCGAACCAUCCUGUGUUAUUUGUAACCAAGGAGAGGAAACGGACAGUCACCACCUACAACACUGCCCAGCUUUGAAGAGCAGCAAACUUUAUGAUCGCUACUGGGAAGCAAGAUGUGUUGUGGGCCAAAGAUGAAAUUCUAUGUACCUGCUAUUUGACAUAAAUAAAUAAAAUUCUC